GGCUGGAUCAGACACUUUGAGGUUUCUCUCCACACCAGUCCCCCUAUAGGUUAGCAGAGGAUUGGAGGAAUCUUUUAGAGGCCAGACUGCUGAGAGUUUCCUGCCAUGGGGCCGGCCCUGAGCAGAGCUGACUGGCCAUCUUGGAAGUUGGAACUCCAGGGUGGAAGAGUGGUUGGUAGGCAGCUCUCACUGGCCUUGGGGGGACUCCUUCCUUUCCCUCUGCUCCUGCCGACCAGAACUUCCCACUUCAAGAAGACUUUUUGGGAAGAGGAAAAGUAGCAUCUGUGAUUUCGAGACACCUCUGCCAGCAUCUGGAUGGGAUUCAGAAUUGGGAAGGCAAAGUAAUCAUACCGAUAAAAAGAGGGAGGAUUUUGGACCUCCGUGAAGAUACUGAAGUGGGGGGGGGGGCAGGGAGAGAGGGUGUUUAUCUGCUUGCCUGGCUGGCACCGUAGCUGUCAUCGUUUCCUUACAUCUUCACCACGACAAGACUGUGUCAUUCGAGCCAUCUUGAGAAGGAGAAGAUGAAAGCUGGGAGGCCGUGAACAUCUCGCCCAGAUUUAUGUUGCUGCAAAAAGAAUUGAAAUUGGGAGGCAGAUUGCAUCCAAAGCUGGAAUAUUUCCAUGUGCUCUUCCCUACACCAUCCUAAAGACGUGGAAGGCAGGGCCUCCCCUCCCUUCCGUGCACCUUCUUGCCCCCACCCCUGUGGUCUCUGUAUCUGCACUAAGAUGAAUGUGCUCUGGCCUCUCCCACCUCACACAGAGCAAGGAGAAAAGGCAACAGCCUCAAAUCUGCCCAAUAUUCCACGGAAGCUGGUCUUUCUUCUACAUGGACAGUGAUUCCCUUUGAAAAGGCAGCAACAUUGAACUGCCCCAGCUUCCUGGCUAUGCCCACCGAUGAAGGUGACAAUCACGAUGCAGAAAUGGACAGUGGGGAGCGUUGGAUGGAAUAAUUACAAUAGUGAACAAAGAACAGCGGUGAAGACAUUUUACCCAAACAUCUUACUUGCUGUUGGAAGUCUGGCUUGACCCAAUGUGAGGCCCUCUUCUCCAUUCCAGAUCCAGGACAUCAUUCCCUGAAGGAGCCACCAGGGGCCUGUGGGAUAGAGGCCAUUGCCGGGGAUGCCCUGAUAGAGGUAAGUGAAGCCCCAGAAGAUCAGCUUUGUCCAGGGGGCCAGGGGUCCUCAGGAUUAUAACAGCAGUGGACCCAGGAUGCUUACCGUCUCGGAUCAGGGACCAUGGAAAACAAUGGAGUAGGACUCCAGGGACCAACAGAGAGAAACAUUCUACUGGGAAACAUGAGCGGCAGUCCUGGGCCUUUCACAUGUCAUUUUUUUUUUCCACGGAUGAGUCACAUAUGUUAUUGAAGCAUCAGUUUUCUCAUCUUCAAAAUGGAGUCCGUACUUACCUUUUUGUCUCUCUUACCCUCCACAACACCACAGACUCCAACAGGCAGGGACUAUAUUUUAUUUUCAGCGUCCCAAUUACAUCCAGCUCAUGGUAUAUUACCUGGCACCUUGUAGCCACGAUAACUACUUGUUGAAAACUAAAGUGAGUGUAGGAGUUCCUGUCAUGGCUCAGUGGUUAAUGAACCUUACUAGUAUCUAUGAGGAGGUGGGCUCGAUCUCUGACCUUGUUCAGUGGGUUAAGGAUCUGGUGUUGCUGUGAGCUGUGGGGUAGGUCGUAAAUGCAACUCAGAUCCCCCGUUGUUGUGGCUGUGGUGUAGGCUGGCAUGUAGCUGUUUCGACCCCUAGCCUGGAAACCUCUAUAUGAUGUGGGUGCAGCCCCAGAAAGACCAAAAAAAAUUAAAGUGAGUGUAACAUAAGAAAGCAUAGAUAUAAAUGUUUGUAAACUUCAGGUAUAACAACAAUGUUCUCACCACCUCCAAGAUUAGCAUCCGUUUCUAUGCUUAGCAGGUAUACAGUUUGUGUUGGCUGAUAGCCUCCACAUCCUCUGUGCAAUGUAGAGCAUAUAGUGAGGUUGUUAUCAUCAAAAAUACGGAAUAUUUUCAAGCAGGAGAGCACCUGUCCUGUGUCAGACCGUACCUAUAAAUCUCCAGGUUGUCUAAGGUCUGAUGGCAGGUAGGUAACAUGCAGGUCUCUACCUGCUCCCUCUGUACUCAGAGAACAUAUUGCUUAAGACGCUUUCCUGCUGAGCCUGAACGUGGCUUCCACAUUCUUCUCUCCUGCUGUAAAAAUAGGGCUGUCCUUAUCCUUCAACCCAAACAAAUAUCUCAAAGAAUUAUGAUUUGGUUUUGCUGCUAGGAAAAAAGAGAAAUAGCAAAGAGGGAAUGAAUCAAUCCAUCCAAGGGAGAUUACUGUUAAAUUGAUUAGAAACAAGCCCCACCCCCACCCCUGCAUAGAAAGGCCACACCCAGAACACCGGAUUCAACUGCUCUGUCUCGGUGAUGGGCUGCAUUUUUUUUUUUAAUAAUAUUUUAAAGCACUUUACAAACAUUUCUAAAUUGAUAUAAUGCCUUGGAACCAGUUUAGAACACAGCAACAAGAGUGAUUAAAAGGCCAGAAGAACUGAUUUAUAAUGAAAGAUAAAGAAUGGAAUAUGACCUGAAGUUUCCAUCUUGGCUCAAUGGUUAAUGAACCCGAUUAGUAUCCAUGAGGACGCCGGUUUGAUCCUUGGCCUUGGUCAGUGGGUUAAGGAUCUGGCAUUGCCAUGAGCUGUGGUGUAAGUCACAGAUGCCUCUUGGAUCCCACGUUGCUGUGGCUGUGGUGUAGGCCGGUGGCUGUAGCUCUGAUUUGACCCCUAGCCUGGAAACCUCUGUAUGCUGUGGGUGUGGCCCUAAAAAGCAAGAAAAAAAAAAAAAAA
This 2819-nucleotide long non-coding RNA is filed under the name Sus scrofa (pig). RNAcentral describes it as "lncRNA (ENSSSCG00045021020.1)". The record is from RNAcentral. Lineage: Eukaryota; Metazoa; Chordata; Mammalia; Artiodactyla; Suidae.